UACGGGAGGCAGCAGUGGGGAAUAUUGCACAAUGGGCGCAAGCCUGAUGCAGCCAUGCCGCGUGUAUGAAAAGGCCUUCGGGUUGUAAAGUACUUUCAGUCGUGAGGAAGGUGUUAAGGUUAAUAACCUUAGCAAUUGACGUUAGCGACAGAAGAAGCACCGGCUAACUCCGUGCCAGCAGCCGCGGUAAUACGGAGGGUGCGAGCGUUAAUCGGAAUUACUGGGCGUAAAGGGCACGCAGGCGGUUAAUUAAGUUGGAUGUGAAAUCCCCGGGCUUAACCUGGGAAUGGCAUUCAAGACUGGUUAGCUAGAGUCUUGUAGAGGGGGUAGAAUUCCAUGUGUAGCGGUGAAAUGCGUAGAGAUGUGGAGGAAUACCGGUGGCGAAGGCGGCCCCUGGGACAAAGACUGACGCUCAUGUGCGAAAGCGUGGGGAGCAAACAGGGAUUAGAUACC
This 453-nucleotide ribosomal RNA is filed under the name uncultured bacterium. RNAcentral describes it as "bacterial SSU rRNA". It matches the Rfam family "Bacterial small subunit ribosomal RNA", at positions 340 to 786 of the family's 1533-position model. The record is from RNAcentral.